UGUUCCGUAGUUCAGUGGUAGAACACCGCACUGUUAAUGCGUAGGUCGUUGGUUCGAAUCCAACCGAGACAG
Molecule: transfer RNA, 72 nt
Filed under: Fructobacillus ficulneus
Lineage: Bacteria; Bacillati; Bacillota; Bacilli; Lactobacillales; Lactobacillaceae
Description: tRNA-Asn
Rfam family: tRNA
About the family: Transfer RNA (tRNA) molecules are approximately 80 nucleotides in length. Their secondary structure includes four short double-helical elements and three loops (D, anti-codon, and T loops).
Source: RNAcentral